GGGGCGUGGGUCGUACCACGCGCCCCGUUCCCGUGCCCGCGCUGCCGGUGGCACCGGGAACGGCAGUGCCACCACCCGUGUGGGGUUCGCGCCUACUGUUCGCGCAACAGAUGAGAGAGGCGAGAGGUGGUCUGAGCGGCAGAGGGGCACCCGGAGAAGAUUAGAGUCUCCCCAUUUACUAAGCACAGAUGUCAUUGGCAACCCAGGUAGUCGGCAGCAUGUCUGGUUUGUCUCCCUGUUCCCAGACCCAGCUCCAGGGCCCAGUACAAAAAUAAGAGCUCAGCAGUGCGCUCACAGCUGUUCGAGUGAGAUGAUAACUGCACUGGAGACGUGGAAGCCUCUGCGGUGCAGGGGUUCCAGAGCCACACCGUACCUGCCAGAACCACAGUGGCCGAAGUGAUGCCUGAGAGCCACCUUUUCACUCAGCUCCAAAUGUGUAGAUGUCAAUGUUUACCUGCUUCGUAAAAGAAAUAAGUUGUAACUCAAGCAUACAUCAAUACAGUAAACUUUUUAAAACUGAAAGAAAAGAAAAGACGUAAAGAAUGUUCUGAAAUGAUUUCUAGAACAUUGGGACUCUCUGUUCUUUAAAAGAUGUGAGAAACUUC
Bos taurus (domestic cattle) is the source of this 605-nucleotide long non-coding RNA. The record is from Ensembl. Lineage: Eukaryota; Metazoa; Chordata; Mammalia; Artiodactyla; Bovidae.